UCCCUGGUGGCUCAGACAGUACAGAAUCCACCUGUGAUGUGGGAGACCUAGGUUCAAUUCCUGGGUUGGGAA
RNAcentral lists this transfer RNA (72 nucleotides) under Bos taurus (domestic cattle). It matches the Rfam family "tRNA". Rfam says of the family: Transfer RNA (tRNA) molecules are approximately 80 nucleotides in length. RNAcentral also lists the same sequence under 4 other names. The record is from Rfam by way of RNAcentral. Lineage: Eukaryota; Metazoa; Chordata; Mammalia; Artiodactyla; Bovidae.